GAGGAGAGGCAGGAGAAAAUACGGCGCGCUCGGCAUCGUCCUUCUGACCGGGGACUCCAGCAUCUCAGUCAUCGCGUCACCAAGCCCCACGGACUAUGGAAAGACUACAUUUCUCAACCUUCCUAGUAGAUGUGAUGUCACCAGUCGGAAUUGGGCAGAAGAAUGUAUCACUUCAGUCCAAGGCAAUUAAGUCUCCGACCCUCUAGCCAAUAGAUGGCAUCUCCUGCCAGCCAAAUGAGUGAGCCAUCAACAGUAACCUGCCCAGCUGAGUCUUCAGGUAACUCCAGUCCUGGUGUGAUCGCAGUCACAUAAGCCAUUCAAACAACAGCAAUUUAUUUACGGAUUACCUACUCAGUUGGUGCCAAGCCUGGUUCUAGAUGCUGAAGACAGAGCCUAGAUCAAGAUUGACUUGGUCCUGGCUUUCCUGAAGUUCCCAGCCUGGUAGAAGAGACAUAAUAAACAACUAGCAAACACAGAAAUGUGAUUCUUUCUGGGAGUAUUAGGUGCUCUGAAAGGAAGAACAAGGGUGAUGUGAUAGACGCUGAUUGGGAUGGGAGCUUUUUCAGAUUGGAUGACAGGAAAGGUCUUCUGAAAUCUGCCUGGUAUGUAGGAGCUAGCCUCUAAAAGUUGUGGAGGAAGAGCACUAGGAGAGGGGUGCAGCCAGGGCAAAGCCUCCAAGGUGGGGCUAAGCUUGGCAGUGGGAUUUCAGUGCAGUGAAUAAGGCUAAAGAGUAGGAAGAGGUAAGAUCAGUGAUGUGGGCAGGGGCCAGAUCAAGCAGGGCCUUGAAGGCCAUGGUAAAGGGUUUGGUAUUUGCUUUGACUAUGCUGGAGAGCCUUUCAAGGGUUUUAAGCAAGAGGAACUUGAGAUGACUUAAGAUUUUUGUUUUUGUUUUUGAGACAGUCUUGUUCUGUUGCUCAGGCUGGAGUGCAGUGGCGCAAUCUU
Molecule: long non-coding RNA, 942 nt
Filed under: Homo sapiens (human)
Lineage: Eukaryota; Metazoa; Chordata; Mammalia; Primates; Hominidae
Description: HSALNT0363714
Source: RNAcentral